This 666-nucleotide ribosomal RNA is filed under the name uncultured fungus. RNAcentral's name for it is "eukaryotic LSU rRNA". It matches the Rfam family "Eukaryotic large subunit ribosomal RNA", at positions 24 to 664 of the family's 3401-position model. Lineage: Eukaryota; Fungi. The record is from RNAcentral.
CCCGCUGAACUUAAGCAUAUCAAUAAGCGGAGGAAAAGAAACUAACAAGGAUUCCCCUAGUAACUGCGAGUGAAGCGGGAAAAGCUCAAAUUUAAAAUCUGGUGGUCUUUGGCUGCCCGAGUUGUAAUCUAGAGAAGUGUUAUCCGCGCUGGACCGUGUACAAGUCUCCUGGAAUGGAGCGUCAUAGAGGGUGAGAAUCCCGUCUUUGACACGGACUACCAGGGCUUUGUGAUGCGCUCUCAAAGAGUCGAGUUGUUUGGGAAUGCAGCUCUAAAUGGGUGGUAAAUUCCAUCUAAAGCUAAAUAUCGGCGAGAGACCGAUAGCGAACAAGUACCGUGAGGGAAAGAUGAAAAGAACUUUGGAAAGAGAGUUAAACAGUACGUGAAAUUGUUGAAAGGGAAACGCUUGAAGUCAGUCGCGUCGGCCGAGACUCAGCCUUGCCUCGGCUUGGUGUAUUUCUUGGCCCGACGGGUCAGCAUCAAUUUUGCCCCUUGGAUAAUGGCUAGGGAAAUGUGACACCUUUAUAGGUGUGUUAUAGUCUCUCGUCGCAUGCAAGGGUCAGGAUUGAGGAACUCAGCAUGCACCUUCGGGUGUCGGGGCUUUUGUCCACGAUACAUGCUUAGGAUGUUGGCGUAAUGGCUUUAAACGACCCGUCUUGAAACACGG